CCCUUAGAUGUCCUGGGCUGCACGCGCGCUACACUGAUGCGUCCCAUGAGUGAUUCCUUACUCGAGAGGGUUGGGUAAACUGUUCAUGCGCAUCGUGAUGGGAAUAGAGCUUUGUAAUUUUUGCUCUUCAACGAGGAAUUCCUAGUAGGUGCAAUUCAUCAACUUGCGCCGAUUACGUCCCUGCCCUUUGUACACACCGCCCGUCGCACCUACCGAUUGAAUGGUCCGGUGAAAUCUCGGGACGGCGGCUUGGUCGCUUGCGUCCGACUGCUGAAACUUGAUUAAACCAUAUCAUUUAGAGGAAGGUGAAGUCGUAACA
Molecule: ribosomal RNA, 319 nt
Filed under: uncultured eukaryote
Lineage: Eukaryota
Description: partial 18S ribosomal RNA
Rfam family: Eukaryotic small subunit ribosomal RNA
Source: RNAcentral